GAACUCGAUUCCGAUUACCGCAGGUCUCUCGGACUAGUUGAGAGGGUGCAUGUGGUUCGUCCGAUAGAUCGUAGCGUGGCGAAAGCACCGGAGCAGUCUCAGGAAUUACAAUGCGCCUGUAAAACCGGCUAGGCUUCCGACAUAGACGCGGUGGUCUGUCCCCCGAGUGCCAUUCUUCUGGAUCUGAUGCAGCGCAAUGUUCUUUUGCGUCUGCCGACGGGCGAGCUCGGUCAACGUAAUACAACUGCUUCGAAUUGAGGCUACCAUAUCUUCUGCUAGAGCGGAACAUGUUCCCUCGGGAAUGUGAACAACAACCGGCCUGGCCUCUGGAUCUGGAGGACUCCCAUCCGAGUCAGUGGAGAUAUAUCGGGUGCUGCUUUCCAUCGGCCAGCCCACGCACUGCUCUUGGGUAACGCAUUUGCGACACGAGCGAUGUCUGCCAUAGCCUCGGGAGAAUAGCGCAACACCUCUUGCCAUGGUUCGGGGAUUCUGGCAAACUCUACUAGUUCCACAAAUGCCCCGUUGGGGCAGUAUGCGUUCAGAACAGAUUGGGGAGGGGUUUGACCGAUCACCGUUCCAACCGGGAAUUGCCUGAAUGCGGCACGGUCCCGACGUCCCCGUGGGCCUACUAAGGCCCCGGUCAUAAUAUCGACGGGAACUGGGCCAUGGGAUGUGUUGAAUCUGUGGAUAGCUUCUACUAUCUCUGGACUAUCCGUCAUAGGGGGACGUGUCCGCAAGGCCAGAGGAGGAUGUCACCUGAAUAUCAUUGCGUUGGACGGCUCGGCCGGACUUGGGAGGACGCCCACGUGGGCGUCCUCCCCCACGCCUGUUUGCGGUUUCUUGGGGUAAGUAGUCCUCAUCUUCCAGUUUACGCGUUCGGGGCGAUGUUUUUCUCCCCUUAGACUGCGGUCCGGAUCGCCCACCACGAUUACUACCUCUGCCCCGACGCGGGCGGCUCGAACAAUCAGCCCGCGGUCUGGGGGGCGACGGAGAUGGUGACCUAGAUGAUGAAGGUGAAGACGGGACGAUUAGAGAAGAUGAUGACGGUGAGGAUGAUGAAGAGGAGGAAGAUGAAGAGGAUGGCGAUCUGGAAACAUGUCCGACGUUCCGGGCCGCGUGGUCUGGGGGAACUUCGUGGAGAUGAGGUUGUGUGAGGCAGUUCGCUCAUUCUGCCAGAAGAUGGAGUAGUCAGCCGUGGACCUGAGCUCAACUCUAGCUUCGCGAAUGGCCGCGGAGAGCGCAGGAGGCAGCGUGGUAGAUGGUUGUGGCAUCUCAAAAGUAACUUCGCAGCCAGGCAUUUAAAGUCUUUCCAUGCCAAACCGGUCCAGGGAUUGGUGCUUCCAUCUCGGCCGUCCACCCAGGUAAUCUCGGGCAAUGGGAACAGCAAUCACUUUCGAAUUCCUUCAGCCCAAAGCACAACCGCGGGUCCACCGGGACUCUCCGACAUAGCUCGAGCCAAAAGGGAAUUGUAGCCCAGGCAAGAAGGGCGGUGCAUAUCUGCAAGUAAACAAAACUCGGGGUUCUGUACGAUUGGCCGGGGUCUUACAUGCUCGCCGAAUUGGAUUUGAGAAUCAAUCUUCCGACGGGUCUCCUGACUUGAACAGGGGAAAGGGGGAGGGGGAGUGUGUUAUCUUGUCGCGAACCAAUAA
This 1649-nucleotide small RNA is filed under the name Gallid alphaherpesvirus 2. RNAcentral describes it as "latency associated transcript 13 non-coding RNA". Lineage: Duplodnaviria; Heunggongvirae; Peploviricota; Herviviricetes; Herpesvirales; Orthoherpesviridae. The record is from RNAcentral.